This is a long non-coding RNA of Peromyscus eremicus (cactus mouse), 553 nucleotides long. RefSeq lists it as uncharacterized. NCBI's taxonomy places the organism in Eukaryota, Metazoa, Chordata, Mammalia, Rodentia, Cricetidae. The record is from RefSeq and is a predicted model, not a curated record. The transcript is spliced from 2 exons.
GAGGAGGAGCUAGCACAUGUAAAACCUGCCAGCACAGUGCCCAGCACCUUGAGCCAGAUGGCUAUGAACCGCAGCUUGCCAGUAGGAAAAACCAAAGGCAGAAGGCAGGUGAUUCCAGUGUACAUGUAUAGAAUGCUUCGAGGUCAAGAAAAAGCCCGCUGUGUGUCACGAUAGUUUCAUCACUGCCGGAACCAGCACCAUUGUCAAGUUGGUUUAACAUGUAAGAAGCCCAGGCUCGAAGUCAAGUGGCUUGCCAGGGUCCUGUCCAAUUAAUGGCAGACCCUGAACCAGAGCCCAGCUUCUGGGAUCUAGGAUCUUCCCUGGUACACAGGACAAGUUCCUGUCCAGGAAAGUUUCUGGGGCCUGUGUUCUACAAAAGACCAGCAAGGGGGUCUUGGGAAAACAGCAUCUCUACCUUCAGUACCUUUGUUUUUGUGGCUCUGAGCAAACCCCCCCUAACCAUAAAGGAGAGGAUUUCCAGGCCUGGAGAAGCAGGCCUGAAUGUGUUUGCUUUGCUUUUAUAGUUCAGAGAACAAUAAAACAGAUGAAAUUA